Molecule: ribosomal RNA, 253 nt
Filed under: uncultured bacterium
Lineage: Bacteria
Description: partial 16S ribosomal RNA
Rfam family: Bacterial small subunit ribosomal RNA
Source: RNAcentral
UACGAAGGGGGCUAGCGUUGCUCGGAAUUACUGGGCGUAAAGCGCACGUAGGCGGCUUUCUAAGUCGGGGGUGAAAGCCUGUGGCUCAACCACAGAAUGGCCUUCGAUACUGGGACGCUUGAGUAUGGUAGAGGUUGGUGGAACUGCGAGUGUAGAGGUGAAAUUCGUAGAUAUUCGCAAGAACACCGGUGGCGAAGGCGGCCAACUGGACCAUUACUGACGCUGAGGAGCGAAAGCGUGGGGAGCGAACAGG